AUGCGGCAACUCCAUCAGGCGUAUAAUCUCCCUUGGCUACUAAUAGGCGAUCUGAACGAAAUACAAUUCUUGCAUGAUAAAGAAGGAGGGUAUCCUAGACCUCCCCAAUAUAUGCGUGCAUUCCAGGAUGCCAUUGAUGGCUGUGAAUUACAUGACAUGGGCUUCAUUGGUGACCGGUUCACUUGGUACAGAGGAAGAAUAAAAGAAAGACUAGACCAUGGGCUAGUGAAUGAUGCUUGGAUUAAUAUGUUCCCCCAAGCUGCACUGGAAAACUUGGAGUUCAAUCAUUCAGAUCAUCGCCCUCUGCUAGUGGAUUCAGAAUACCGCAGUGGG
This 333-nucleotide ribosomal RNA is filed under the name Triticum aestivum (bread wheat). Its description in RNAcentral is "partial small subunit ribosomal RNA". Lineage: Eukaryota; Viridiplantae; Streptophyta; Magnoliopsida; Poales; Poaceae. The record is from RNAcentral.